UCGGGAAUUUUGGGCAAUGGGCGAAAGCCUGACCCAGCAACGCCGCGUGAGGGAUGAAGUAUUUCGGUAUGUAAACCUCGAAAGAAUGGGAAGAAUAAAUGACGGUACCAUUUAUAAGCUCCGGCUAACUACGUGCCAGCAGCCGCGGUAAUACGUAGGGAGCAAGCGUUGUUCGGAUUUACUGGGCGUAAAGGGCGCGUAGGCGGCGCGGUAAGUCACUUGUGAAAUCUCUGAGCUUAACUCAGAACGGCCAAGUGAUACUGCUGUGCUAGAGUGCGGAAGAGGCCACCGGAAUUCUCGGUGUAGCGGUGAAAUGCGUAGACAUCAAGAGGAACACCUGAGGCGAAGGCGGGUUGCUGGGCCGACACUGACGCUGAUGCGCGA
This 384-nucleotide ribosomal RNA is filed under the name uncultured bacterium. RNAcentral's name for it is "bacterial SSU rRNA". It matches the Rfam family "Bacterial small subunit ribosomal RNA", at positions 355 to 756 of the family's 1533-position model. The record is from RNAcentral.